GACGAACGCUGGCGGCGUGCUUAACACAUGCAAGUGGAGCGACGAACCAGGCUUCGGCCUGGGGCAGAGCCGCGAACGGGUGAGUAACACGUGGGUAACCUGCCUCGAUGACCGGGACAACCCGAGGAAACCCGGGCUAAUACCGGAUGUGCUCCUUCACAUCAGUGAAGACAGGAAAGGAAGCUUCGGCCUCCGCAUCGAGAUGGGCCCGCGGCCCAUUAGCUUGUUGGUGAGGUAACGGCUCACCAAGGCUGCGAUGGGUAGCUGGUCUGAGAGGACGAUCAGCCACACUGGGACUGAGACACGGCCCAGACUCCUACGGGAGGCAGCAGUGGGGAAUCUUGCGCAAUGCGCGAAAGCGUGACGCAGCAACGCCGCGUGGGGGAAGACGGCCUUCGGGUUGUAAACCCCUUUCAGGAGGGACGAAGCCAGAGCGGUUAAUAGCCGACUCGGGUGACGGUACCUCCA
Molecule: ribosomal RNA, 468 nt
Filed under: uncultured bacterium
Lineage: Bacteria
Description: bacterial SSU rRNA
Rfam family: Bacterial small subunit ribosomal RNA
Source: RNAcentral